CUUUGAGGGGGAACAGACUUCAGGACGGACGACGGCGGUGACCUCAUUCUCGCCAGAACGUGGACGGCUGCGGUGUGGUGGCGUCUUUCAUGCACAGUUUAGAGAAACACGAGUCUUUAUGAGGUACAUAAUCCUGUGUUCGAUCAGCCCUCUGCACCUCUCUCUCUCUCUCUCUCUCUCUCUCUUCAGCGUGGCGUUGGACGGACCCUCUCUCACGCCUGUCUGACCCCCUCUCAUCAAGGCUGACCGUUUUCGUCUGGUGUUCAGAGUUUCCAUCAUGUCUAGCACCAUUUGAAAUCGGUUACAAUGUGGAGGGAAUAUCAACAAGUCCUCCGCUCCAGACCUGCAGGGUCCUCAAAUCACCACUAGGUGGCAACAUUGAGCUGUAAUCCACAGACACCGAGUUACCAGGAGACUUAAAAACCGUCUGUGGCUCAGUUUUAUUCACUCAGAGGUUUUAUUUCAGAUAAUUCAGUUUACCAUCGCUCAUUAGUGCUGUGUGUAAACCUCCACACUGACUCUGUUCUGCAGGAAGGAUGAUUAAUUAAUAUAAUUAAUAGAUUAUCUGGUCCAUUGAUCCAGCAGUGAAGAGAGUGAGUAUCCUUGCAGUGCAGCACCAACACAAAUAUAUGUGUUUUUUAUUUUACUGAGAAAUUAACCAUCAUACUGCCAAAAGAUUCAACUUACAGGGAGCAUGGAGGAGCCAAAGAUAAUGUGUAAAAGAGAAAUAAUCCCAGACGAAUGUUGUCCAAACAGGAUUAGACAGGAACAUUAAUAAGAAAGCCGGUACUGGAGCAGAACUUCAGAAGAUGAUCCACAUCCCUGGUUUGAGCUCAGACAGCAGGUUACUCUGUCCUUAGUCCCUGAAAAAUAACCACUGACUCAAACUAACAUCUUUCUCUUAUAAACUAACGAGUUUUUCUCAAACAGACUUAUCUCCUAAAGUUACGACUUCUUUCUCAAAAUUCUACAACUUUAUUUACAACAUUUUCUAUAAAAAAUGACUGCUGUUUUCCUCCAGUGUUAAACUUGGUUUCCUCCUGAAUUUGGCCAGAAUAUAGAAAAAAAAACAUUCAUAUAAUCAGAAACAAACUUAAACUGAUUUUGUUUGUAUUUAUUCCUGUAAAGUUUCUGUACGUGUGAAUUUUGUGUGAAAUGAUUAAAUGACAAUAAAAAUCUUUAAAACUCUGUCGGCUGAAUCUGUCCUCA
This is a non-coding RNA of Xyrichtys novacula (pearly razorfish), 1209 nucleotides long. The record is from the annotation of a GenBank genome assembly. NCBI's taxonomy places the organism in Eukaryota, Metazoa, Chordata, Actinopteri, Labriformes, Labridae.